This 116-nucleotide ribosomal RNA is filed under the name Enterobacter kobei. Lineage: Bacteria; Pseudomonadati; Pseudomonadota; Gammaproteobacteria; Enterobacterales; Enterobacteriaceae. The record is from RNAcentral.
CCUGGCGGCUUUAGGCCGGUGGUCCCACCUGACCCCAUGCCGAACUCAGAAGUGAAACGCCGUAGCGCCGAUGGUAGUGGGGGGUCUCCCCAUGUGAGAGUAGGGAACUGCCAGGC